Molecule: unclassified non-coding RNA, 1226 nt
Filed under: Bombus terrestris (buff-tailed bumblebee)
Lineage: Eukaryota; Metazoa; Arthropoda; Insecta; Hymenoptera; Apidae
Description: misc RNA ENSBTSG00005025037.1
Source: RNAcentral
GAUUAAACGAAAGAACAGAUGGACAACAUAUUGAAUUUAAAAAUCGCUCUUCCAUAAGAAACACGAAACGUAACUUAUCAUGCUCCUUCAUACUUGUGGCAUUCGAUUACCAAAAACAAAAACCAAAAAGAAACCAGAAAGAAAGACAGAGAAGAUUGAAAUUCCUUUGACUUGAAAUUGAAACCGCAAUUUCGAGCAUCGCAAAGCUAUCGGCUUUGAAUAAAAGCUUUUGAAAAUUCCUCGGCAAAUUCGAACGUGCUCGAUUAUAUCGGACUAAUGGAACUGGAAGUAUCGUUGUUCAGGAUCAGCAACAGCAAACCAGAGACCGCGGCAAACACGCCAGCGGACAUCAAACCAAGCGCCGGAAGCUUUUUGGAGGAAAGAAUUGGUCCAUCUUCGAGUUUGAGGUAGCACAGGCCAGGUAGAACGUAAGCUAGAGGUACAGCAGCGAGGAUUCCAUUCAAUUCGAGAACCACACCCAGACAAUCUGUUGACAUCGAUAUCAGAUAUGCGACAACCACUAUCGACAAAGUUAUUAUCAAGUAUUUCCGGUCGGAGUUAGGGAUGUAUGCAGUAUGAUCUUCGAGCUCAUCGGUCCCUUUAAUCGCUGUCAGUAUUACCUGGAACAAAUUUUCACAAAUUUUUCGACCUUACGUCGAACUUUUAAUCUUGUAUAUAAUUUUUUGUAUAAAUUUAUUAAAUAAUCGUCUUAACGGACAAUAAAUUCUAUGUGUUAUCGUUAGAUAAUCGCAGAUAUUCAUGCAUUUAUGGAAAAUUUCUCUAAAUCCUUUUCCUUCUCUUUACUCUCCCCGUCCAAUCCUAAUUUUUAUAGAAAAUCAGAGAGAGAUUUUAUAGAAAAUUAGAAAAACAGCGCGAGUAAUACAAAAUUAACUGUAAAUGUUCAUGCGAUAAUUAACAUUGCACAACAAAUAAUUUUCUGGCUUUAAUCGACAUUUAAGUGAGAUUUUAAGAAGAGGAGGAUUUAUAUGAAUAUAUCGGUUAAUUAGAAAUAAUUUAUGCGAAAAUGUUUCGAGAAAGCUUUACAAUUACACAACGAAAACUAGAGAUCGAUAAAAGGAGCAAUAAACCGAAUUAUGAAUAUUUUAUGAACCUCGAUACAAUUUUAUUAUUUGUUAUUAAUGCUUGAUGACGAAGGAAAAUUAAUUCAGUUCGUUAACAUAAAUUAUGAAUUUUGUUUAUCUUUUAUGGUGGUUGACCAGAACUUG